UAUUGGGCAACUGGCAUUAGCACAGCGUGGUGAUGGUAAUUAUUAUCGUGGUUGCAUUAUUACUGUAAAGGAAGACAGAGUGGAACUUCUGUUCGAUGAUGUUGGUUGUAGAGAAUAUAUAGAUAGGAAGAAAAUUAAGAUUUAUCCUGAAUAUUUGAGGAAGCUUGGACAUUGUAUAUCAAAAAUCUUUUUACAAGAUGUUCCUAAAAAUAUCCCCCCGAUACAAUCAAUAAUUAAAAUUCUGGAGAACCUAGUGGAAAAUAAAGUCCCUCUGAUAUGUACAUA
Long non-coding RNA from Bombus impatiens (common eastern bumble bee), 285 nucleotides. RefSeq lists it as uncharacterized. The record is from RefSeq and is a predicted model, not a curated record. The transcript is spliced from 2 exons. NCBI's taxonomy places the organism in Eukaryota, Metazoa, Arthropoda, Insecta, Hymenoptera, Apidae.